GAUGAACGCUGGCGGCGUGCCUAAUACAUGCAAGUCGAGCGAACAGACGAGGAGCUUGCUCCUUUGACGUUAGCGGCGGACGGGUGAGUAACACGUGGAUAACCUACCUAUAAGACUGGGAUAACUUCGGGAAACCGGAGCUAAUACCGGACAACAUGUUGAACCGCAUGGUUCAACAGUGAAAGACGGUCUUGCUGUCACUUAUAGAUGGAUCCGCGCCGCAUUAGCUAGUUGGUAAGGUAACGGCUUACCAAGGCAACGAUGCGUAGCCGACCUGAGAGGGUGAUCGGCCACACUGGAACUGAGACACGGUCCAGACUCCUACGGGAGGCAGCAGUAGGGAAUCUUCCGCAAUGGGCGAAAGCCUGACGGAGCAACGCCGCGUGAGUGAAGAAGGUCUUCGGAUCGUAAAACUCUGUUAUCAGGGAAGAACAAAUGUGUAAGUAACUAUGCACGUCUUGACGGUACCUAAUCAGAAAGCCACGGCUAACUACGUG
This 497-nucleotide ribosomal RNA is filed under the name uncultured bacterium. RNAcentral describes it as "partial 16S ribosomal RNA". It matches the Rfam family "Bacterial small subunit ribosomal RNA", at positions 28 to 507 of the family's 1533-position model. The record is from RNAcentral.